CCUACGAGUGUCAGCAGUGGGGAAUAUUGCACAAUGGGCGAAAGCCUGAUGCAGCAACGCCGCGUGAGUGAUGAAGGCCUUCGGGUCGUAAAACUCUGUCCUCAAGGAAGAUAAUGACGGUACUUGAGGAGGAAGCCCCGGCUAACUACUGGCCAGCAGCCGCGGUAAUACGUAGGGGGCUAGCGUUAUCCGGAUUUACUGGGGGUAAAGGGUGCGUAGGCGGUCUUUCAAGUCAGGAGUGAAAGGGUACGGCUCAACCGUAGGAAGCUAUUGAAACUUGGAGCAUUGAGUGCAGGAGAGGAGAGGGGAAUUACUAGUGUAGCGGGGAAAUGCGUAGAUAUUAGGAGGAACACCCGUUGCGAAGGCGGGUUUCUGGACUGUAACUGACGCUGAGGCACGAAAGCGUGGGGAGCAAACAGGAUUAGAUACCCUUGUAGUC
RNAcentral lists this ribosomal RNA (439 nucleotides) under uncultured bacterium. Its description in RNAcentral is "partial 16S ribosomal RNA". It matches the Rfam family "Bacterial small subunit ribosomal RNA", at positions 338 to 795 of the family's 1533-position model. The record is from RNAcentral.